UACUACGGCGUCUUUAUGGCUUCUGGAAUAUUGAACGUCAGGUUAGUGAAACAACAGUGAAAGGUUUUCUAAGGCUACUCAUAAUGGGAGUAACAUAUACUAGUAUCACGCAUAUGAUACUUGUAUAUGAUACUACCUUCAUAGUGCAUAGUAUUAUAAAGUAGUAUCAUAGAUGGCCAUAUUUAUUGCCAUGCAUGACACAAAGUAGUAUAACAUUUAACAUGAUACAGUAUCUACCUAUGUUACUCUAACACUCUCUCUCACUACUAGGAAAAGGCCUGCUAGUGGCGCACCUGUUUUGGCUACUAAUGGCGCACCUGUAGUGCGCCACUAGCAUCUUUUACUAAUGGCGCGUAGAAGUGCGCCAUUAUUAACAUUUUUUUAAAUUUUUUUCAGAAUUUUUUUUUGUUUUUUUUUCUUAAUCUCGGGUCACUAUGGCUUAAUCUCAAGCCAAUAUGCUUAAUCUCAAGUCAAAGCGCACUCCAUGGUCAAACUUCUCGAAAGGUCACCCAUCCUCACACUACUCCAGCCCGAGCACGCUUAACUUCACAGUUCUAUCCAACCCCAACACCAGCUCACUUCACAGGCACUUGUUGAUAUAUUUAUCAUAUCAAUCCUAUUAAACCUUGUUGAUGUCUAUGACUUUGUUCAUGUUCAUGAGUGUGAUGAAAUUUUGAAAAAAUAUUUCAAACUUCCCGGUCAUAUUACGCAUCAUAUUUUGAAAAAAAUUCCAAUUUUUUUUUGAAACCAAUUUUUUUUUCUAUUACUAGUGGCGCACCUAGCAAAUGGUGCGCCACUAGUAAGUUUGAAUUUUUUUCAUUUUUCCCCCUCUAGAUCUUAAAAGCCCCGUAUCUUUCAUUCUGUUAGGUUUUUGGGGAUUUUGAAGAUGUUGAACAAAGUUCCCCCAGUUCAAAUCGUAUGUAACUUUUCGAGUAGAUGAUUUUUCAUAUAUAAAACUUCUUAAUCCGAGUUCGUACGCAAAAGUUAUGCCCAUUUUACAAAUUCCAGAGAGAUUUUGCAAAUAAAGUCGAAAUUCAUAUUUGUAAAUUUUCCCAACAACUAGACCACAUAUCACACGGGAAACUUAUUUUAUUUUAUUUUUUUGAUAUUUCCAUCAUUUUCUUUUAUUUUUUCUAAAACUGAAAAGGCGGUCCGGGGGGGUUAGGGAUAGUGCGCCAUUACUAGUUUUGAAAAAAAAUUGUUAGUAGUGGCGCACCGUGGAUAUGGUGCGCGAUUAGUAUUUGGACACUAAUGGCGUACCAACACAUGGUGUGCCAUUAGUAUAUAGUAGUGGCGCACCACAUGUGUGGUGCGUCAUUAGUGUCCAUAUUAUCUAUAGCCUUUUUUCUAGUAGUGUCUCUUAUUUAAUUGUGUGUCAUAUAAGCAUGUUUGCUAGUCCCAAGUGCAUGUUACCGGUUAUGUUACCCCCACUAUGGCCAGCCUAAGAUAAUACUAUAUCUCUGGAACUAAAAACUAAUUAAUAAUGUUGAAUGGCAUUACUAACUCUAUAUUUUGUUUGUCCUGCACAAAUCUAGCACUUUCUGAGGUGUUGCCCAGAGCAUGCUGUUGAACAUGGAGGGUUUGAGCUAAGAAAUACUUGCAGGCUGCCAAUGUAUUAAUGGUUAGGCAUUUUUGGAUUUGUCAUGUUUACAUGUUUACCAGGGUAACCAUAGCGGCUUCAUUGCAUCAUACCCGAAACU
Molecule: long non-coding RNA, 1700 nt
Filed under: Triticum aestivum (bread wheat)
Lineage: Eukaryota; Viridiplantae; Streptophyta; Magnoliopsida; Poales; Poaceae
Description: long non-coding RNA (TAES_LNC019803)
Source: RNAcentral